Molecule: ribosomal RNA, 387 nt
Filed under: uncultured bacterium
Lineage: Bacteria
Description: bacterial SSU rRNA
Rfam family: Archaeal small subunit ribosomal RNA
Source: RNAcentral
GCGCGAAAACUUUAUAAUGCUGGCAACAGCGAUAAGGGAACCUCGAGUGCCAGGUUACAAAUCUGGCUGUCGAGAUGCCUAAAAAGCAUUUCAUAGCAAGGGCCGGGCAAGACCGGUGCCAGCCGCCGCGGUAACACCGGCGGCUCGAGUGGUAACCGUUAUUAUUGGGUCUAAAGGGUCUGUAGCCGGCCGGAUAAGUCUCUUGAGAAAUCUGGCAGCUUAACUGUCAGGCUUUCAGGAAAUACUGUCUGGCUCGAGGCCGGGAGAGGUGAGAGGUACUUCAGGGGUAGGGGUGAAAUCUUGUAAUCCUUGAAGGACCACCAGUGGCGAAGGCGUCUCACCAGAACGGACCUGACGGCAAGGGACGAAAGCUAGGGGCACGAACCG